GCACUGCUGACGAGUCCCAAACAAGACAAAACAGCUGUCCAGUGC
Non-coding RNA from Echinostoma caproni, 45 nucleotides. The record is from Rfam. NCBI's taxonomy places the organism in Eukaryota, Metazoa, Platyhelminthes, Trematoda, Plagiorchiida, Echinostomatidae.